GCGAGGAGGAGGGCGUGGCCGGGCCGUGAGGAUGCUCCACAAAAACACGCUUGAGGGGUGACAUGAUGUUCUGGAUACACGCGCAAAUACACUGUUGUCAGCGGUUCACGUUAGAAGCCGCCGGGGUCGAGACAGCAAACAUUUUCGAAAUGGGGCCCCGGCUUGGUCGGAUGCUUGGGGCCUCAGAAAUCGUAAACCCGCCCCUGCUCCUGGGUUUCGGCACACUGUGUGACGAGGAGGAGGGCGUUGCCAGGCCGUGAUGAUGCAUGGCCAGCGCUGAAUCAGCUGAUCAGUGGGAGAGCGAGAUAAAGGGGAGCCGGAGGCGCCAGUUCGAGAGGGAGAGAGACGCAUGCGGCCGCAUUGCAUGUGUGCCUGUGUUUAUGUUGUUAAACAUAAGAGUUUCCUAUUAAACUUUAUUUUUACUGUU
Molecule: long non-coding RNA, 427 nt
Organism: Myxocyprinus asiaticus (Chinese sucker)
Lineage: Eukaryota; Metazoa; Chordata; Actinopteri; Cypriniformes; Catostomidae
Exons: 2
Source: RefSeq, a predicted model, not a curated record